This 365-nucleotide ribosomal RNA is filed under the name Acinetobacter baumannii Naval-17. Its description in RNAcentral is "bacterial SSU rRNA". It matches the Rfam family "Bacterial small subunit ribosomal RNA", at positions 51 to 418 of the family's 1533-position model. Lineage: Bacteria; Pseudomonadati; Pseudomonadota; Gammaproteobacteria; Moraxellales; Moraxellaceae. The record is from RNAcentral.
ACACAUGCAAGUCGAGCGGGGGAAGGUAGCUUGCUACUGGACCUAGCGGCGGACGGGUGAGUAAUGCUUAGGAAUCUGCCUAUUAGUGGGGGACAACAUCUCGAAAGGGAUGCUAAUACCGCAUACGUCCUACGGGAGAAAGCAGGGGAUCUUCGGACCUUGCGCUAAUAGAUGAGCCUAAGUCGGAUUAGCUAGUUGGUGGGGUAAAGGCCUACCAAGGCGACGAUCUGUAGCGGGUCUGAGAGGAUGAUCCGCCACACUGGGACUGAGACACGGCCCAGACUCCUACGGGAGGCAGCAGUGGGGAAUAUUGGACAAUGGGGGGAACCCUGAUCCAGCCAUGCCGCGUGUGUGAAGAAGGCUUA